UGGGGAAUAUUGGACAAUGGGCGAAAGCCUGAUCCAGCCAUGCCGCGUGUGUGAAGAAGGUCUUCGGAUUGUAAAGCACUUUAAGUUGGGGGGAAGGGCAGUAAGCGAAUACCUUGCUGUUUUGACGUUACCGACAGAAUAAGCACCGGCUAACUCUGUGCCAGCAGCCGCGGUAAUACAGAGGGUGCAAGCGUUAAUCGGAAUUACUGGGCGUAAAGCGCGCGUAGGUGGUUCGUUAAGUUGAAUGUGAAAGCCCCGGGCUCAACCUGGGAACUGCAUCCAAAACUGGCGAGCUAGAGUAGGGCAGAGGGUGGUGGAAUUUCCUGUGUAGCGGAGAAAUGCGUAGAUAUAGGAAGGAACACCAGUGGCGAAGGCGACCACCUGGGCUCAUACUGACACUGAGGUGCGAAAGCGUGGGGUGCAAACAGG
This 429-nucleotide ribosomal RNA is filed under the name Pseudomonadota bacterium. RNAcentral describes it as "Proteobacteria bacterium partial 16S ribosomal RNA". It matches the Rfam family "Bacterial small subunit ribosomal RNA", at positions 355 to 776 of the family's 1533-position model. Lineage: Bacteria; Pseudomonadati; Pseudomonadota. The record is from RNAcentral.